This is a long non-coding RNA of Mastomys coucha (southern multimammate mouse), 271 nucleotides long. RefSeq lists it as uncharacterized. The transcript is spliced from 2 exons. Lineage: Eukaryota; Metazoa; Chordata; Mammalia; Rodentia; Muridae. The record is from RefSeq and is a predicted model, not a curated record.
GACCACUCAUGAAAAUAGCAGGUUGCCUAACUCACCAGAGAACACUAAACCCAAAAUAAGCCCUCCACUGGAGCGCAAGAAGUGAUUAGAGGAGGUUGUCUCAGCCGAGAAGCCUGGAAAGUAUGGUCAAUAUAUUACUAGUUCAUGAACUUCACUCGGCCACCCAGCUGUGCCAGAGAAGCCAGAAGCUGCUUCAACUGGUCGCCACUGAAUUCAAGUGUGCUAUUGACAGCACUCUUAGCUGAUACAAAAUAAAUAUUUUCAGCCCUGA